This 247-nucleotide ribosomal RNA is filed under the name uncultured bacterium. Its description in RNAcentral is "partial 16S ribosomal RNA". It matches the Rfam family "Bacterial small subunit ribosomal RNA", at positions 15 to 258 of the family's 1533-position model. The record is from RNAcentral.
GAUCCUGGCUCAGAUUGAACGCUGGCGGCAGGCCUAACACAUGCAAGUCGAACGGUAACAGGAAGAAGCUUGCUUCUUUGCUGACGAGUGGCGGACGGGUGAGUAAUGUCUGGGAAACUGCCUGAUGGAGGGGGAUAACUACUGGAAACGGUAGCUAAUACCGCAUAACGUCGCAAGACCAAAGAGGGGGACCUUCGGGCCUCUUGCCAUCGGAUGUGCCCAGAUGGGACUAGCUAGUAGGUGGGGG